RNAcentral lists this ribosomal RNA (419 nucleotides) under uncultured Nocardioides sp. RNAcentral's name for it is "bacterial SSU rRNA". It matches the Rfam family "Bacterial small subunit ribosomal RNA", at positions 355 to 774 of the family's 1533-position model. The record is from RNAcentral. Lineage: Bacteria; Bacillati; Actinomycetota; Actinomycetes; Propionibacteriales; Nocardioidaceae.
UGGGGAAUAUUGGACAAUGGGCGGAAGCCUGAUCCAGCAACGCCGCGUGAGGGAUGACGGCCUUCGGGUUGUAAACCUCUUUCAGCACAGACGAAGUCGCAGCUUUUGUUGUGGUGACGGUAUGUGCAGAAGAAGCACCGGCCAACUACGUGCCAGCAGCCGCGGUAAUACGUAGGGUGCGAGCGUUGUCCGGAAUUAUUGGGCGUAAAGGGCUCGUAGGCGGUUUGUCGCGUCGGGAGUGAAAACCUCGGGCUUAACUCGGGGCUUGCUUUCGAUACGGGCAGACUAGAGGUAUGCAGGGGAGAACGGAAUUCCUGGUGUAGCGGUGAAAUGCGCAGAUAUCAGGAGGAACACCGGUGGCGAAGGCGGUUCUCUGGGCAUGACCUGACGCUGAGGAGCGAAAGUGUGGGGAGCGAACA